Molecule: long non-coding RNA, 249 nt
Organism: Carassius auratus (goldfish)
Lineage: Eukaryota; Metazoa; Chordata; Actinopteri; Cypriniformes; Cyprinidae
Exons: 2
Source: RefSeq, a predicted model, not a curated record
UAAUGAGGUCAGUGCUUCUUAGAUGCUGCUCUGAAGAUUGAAGCAUGUGUGUGUCUCAUCUUUAGUGUCUGGCAUUAUUAAAACAAUCUUAACCAAUAGUCUUUGGAUUUAUAAAAGCAAGUGGAGUGUACCAAAUGAUCUGAGCAUCAGAAAUAAGGGAAGCCAGUGUAAGGAGCGCUGAAGGAGCAUUUGGAGAGAUGGAGAGAUGAACGUGUGUUCUCCAGCAGGAUGAUGGGAGAUGAGGAAGAG